Molecule: ribosomal RNA, 530 nt
Filed under: uncultured bacterium
Lineage: Bacteria
Description: bacterial SSU rRNA
Rfam family: Bacterial small subunit ribosomal RNA
Source: RNAcentral
AAUAGAUACCCGGGUAGUCCACGCCGUAAACGAUGAGUGCUAAGUGUUAGGGGGUUUCCACCCCUUAGGUGCUGCAGCUAACGCAUUAAGCACUCCGCCUGGGGAGUACGGUCGCAAGACUGAAACUCAAAGGAAUUGACGGGGGCCCGCACAAGCGGUGGAGCAUGUGGUUUAAUUCGAAGCAACGCGAAGAACCUUACCAGGUCUUGACAUCCCGAUGACCGCUCUAGAGAUAGAGCUUUCCCUUCGGGGACAGCGGUGACAGGUGGUGCAUGGUUGUCGUCAGCUCGUGUCGUGAGAUGUUGGGUUAAGUCCCGCAACGAGCGCAACCCUUGUUCUUAGUUGCCAUCAUUCAGUUGGGCACUCUAAGGAGACUGCCGCAGACAAUGCGGAGGAAGGUGGGGAUGACGUCAAAUCAUCAUGCCCCUUAUGACCUGGGCUACACACGUGCUACAAUGGACGGUACAAACGGUUGCGAAGUCGCGAGACGGAGCCAAUCCGAGAAAACCGUUCUCAGUUCGGAUUGCAGG